GACGAACGCUGGCGGCGUGCUUAACACAUGCAAGUCGAACGCUGAUGGCCCAGCUUGCUGGGUUGGAUGAGUGGCGAACGGGUGAGUAACACGUGAGUAACCUGCCCUCUUCUUUGGGAUAACGGUCGGAAACGGCUGCUAAUACCGGGUAUUCACUGUCCUUCGCAUGGGGGGUGGUGGAAAGGUUUUUUUCUGGUGGGGGAUGGGCUCGCGGCCUAUCAGCUUGUUGGUGGGGUGAUGGCUUACCAAGGCUUUGACGGGUAACCGGCCUGAGAGGGUGACCGGUCACAUUGGGACUGAGAUACGGCCCAGACUCCUACGGGAGGCAGCAGUGGGGAAUAUUGCACAAUGGGCGAAAGCCUGAUGCAGCAACGCCGCGUGAGGGAUGGAGGCCUUCGGGUUGUAAACCUCUUUCGCUCAUGGUCAAGCCGCAGCUUUGGGUUGUGGUGAGGGUAGUGGGUAAAGAAGCACCGGCUAACUACGUGCCAGCAGCCGCGGUAAUACGUAGGGUGCGAGCGUUGUCCGGAAUUAUUGGGCGUAAAGGGCUUGUAGGCGGUUUGUCGCGUCUGCCGUGAAAUCCUCUGGCUUAACUGGGGGCGUGCGGUGGGUACGGGCAGGCUUGAGUGCGGUAGGGGAGACUGGAACUCCUGGUGUAGCGGUGGAAUGCGCAGAUAUCAGGAAGAACACCGGUGGCGAAGGCGGGUCUCUGGGCCGUUACUGACGCUGAGGAGCGAAAGCGUGGGGAGCGAACAGG
This 754-nucleotide ribosomal RNA is filed under the name uncultured Actinomyces sp. RNAcentral describes it as "bacterial SSU rRNA". It matches the Rfam family "Bacterial small subunit ribosomal RNA", at positions 28 to 776 of the family's 1533-position model. Lineage: Bacteria; Bacillati; Actinomycetota; Actinomycetes; Actinomycetales; Actinomycetaceae. The record is from RNAcentral.